UACAGAGGUCCCGAGCGUUGUUCGGAGUUACUGGGCGUAAAGGGUGUGUAGGCGGUUUUCUAAGUUUGGUGUGAAAUCUCCCGGCUCAACCGGGAGGGUGCGCCGAAAACUGGGAGACUAGAGUGCGGGAUGGGAGAGUAGAAUUCCUGGUGUAGCGGUGAAAUGCGUAGAUAUCAGGAGGAAUACCGGUGGUGUAGACGGCUCUCUGGACCGCCACUGACGCUGAGACACGAAAGCGUGGGUAGCAAACAGG
RNAcentral lists this ribosomal RNA (253 nucleotides) under uncultured bacterium. Its description in RNAcentral is "partial 16S ribosomal RNA". It matches the Rfam family "Bacterial small subunit ribosomal RNA", at positions 524 to 776 of the family's 1533-position model. The record is from RNAcentral.